Molecule: long non-coding RNA, 778 nt
Filed under: Homo sapiens (human)
Lineage: Eukaryota; Metazoa; Chordata; Mammalia; Primates; Hominidae
Description: long non-coding RNA NONHSAT212655.1
Source: RNAcentral
AGGUGGUAAAGCUGGCUGUCUCGCCACUCACCUCCUGCUAUGCAGCCUGGUUCCUAGCAGGCUACUUACAAGUCCACACCCCUAUUAUAAAGUAUAAUUGAGCAGCAACAUCAUGGAAUCAUGGAACAAUACUUGACUUUCUAGGGGGAAGUGUGAAGGAGUGAAGAGGACAGGCAGGGUCUUGCUGGAGUGCAGUCCCAGGCUGAAGAGAACCUCUCACCUCAGCUCCCAGAAUUGCUAGGACUACAGGUACACACCACCAUGCUCAGUUGAUUUUUGUAUUUUGUAUUUUUUGUAGAGAUGGGGUUUCACCAUGUUGUCCAGGCUGGUCUCGAACUCCUAAGCUGAAGCAACAUGCCUGCCUAGGCCUCCCGAAGUGCUGAGAUUACAAGAAUGAGCCACCACACCCAGCCAAGGAUUUUGACUCUUAUCCUAUGAAUAAUGAGAAGCUGCUGGAGUGUUUUAAACUAGCAAGAAAACUAACAAAGUUUGCAUGUUGGAAAAUGUGCUUGGCAAUAAGGUGAUUUGCAAAAGGACCUAAAACCCUGAAUUCCCCAAGCUCCAGCAUUUCCAGCUUCUGGUAAUCAUUCUAUUCUCUACUUCAAUGAGAUCAACUUCUGUGGCUCCCACAUAUGCCUGAGUCCACUGAACUCUCUGCAUUCACUGGAAAGGAGAUAUUUUUCACAGCAGAGCCUUAAUGAAAUCCAAAACAAGAUGAGUCUCAACCAAGGCAACCAAGGAGACCUGAUUACAGGGGACCUGUGAACUUCAUGUUAGA